AUACAAACUUAAUCACUAGCUGCAUGAUGCUGCAGAAGUGAGGGAAACCAGAUUUACAUAAUAACUGCAGUGAUAGAAAUGUACUAACUUCAGAUCCUACUGAGGUUGCCUAUUCUAUUCUAGUACUGGG
Molecule: small nucleolar RNA, 130 nt
Organism: Suncus etruscus (white-toothed pygmy shrew)
Lineage: Eukaryota; Metazoa; Chordata; Mammalia; Eulipotyphla; Soricidae
Source: RefSeq, a predicted model, not a curated record